This 21-nucleotide unclassified non-coding RNA is filed under the name Mus musculus (house mouse). RNAcentral's name for it is "oocyte_clustered_small_RNA11574". Lineage: Eukaryota; Metazoa; Chordata; Mammalia; Rodentia; Muridae. The record is from RNAcentral.
AUUGGGUGUGAUACAGGUUCC